CCUUCGCUGCUUCUUCCGUGACCCACUCGCGCUCCUCCUCCCUCGCGAUCUCCCGAUCCCACUACUCCCUGUUCUGUGGCUCUAAAUUCCCAAUUCCAACCCUAAUUUUCCUCCUCGGGAUCGGCGGGGAGAUUCGGAGAUCGAGCUCCGAAGACAGAGGAGGAGGACACGGCGGGCGCCGGGAAGAUGACGCGGCGCUGCUCCCACUGCAGCCACAAUGGCCACAACUCCCGGACGUGCCCUAACCGUGGCGUCAAGCUCUUCGGGGUGCGGCUCACCGAUGGAUCCGUCCGGAAGAGCGCCAGCAUGGGGAACCUCUCCCUCCUUGCCGGAUCCAGCGGCGGCGCGUCGCCCGAGCCCGGAGGCGGCGCCGCGGCGGACGGAUACGCGUCGGAGGAUUUCGUCAAGGGGUCGUCUUCCAGCUGCCGCGAGCGAAAGAAGGGUACUCCAUGGACUGAAGAGGAGCAUAGAAUGUUUUUACUUGGUUUGCAGAAGCUUGGCAAAGGUGAUUGGCGUGGCAUAUCACGUAACUAUGUGGUAUCAAGGACACCGACUCAAGUAGCCAGCCAUGCACAGAAGUAUUUUAUUCGUAAAGCCAAUAUGACAAGAAGAAAGAGAAGAUCAAGCCUCUUUGAUAUGGUUCCUGAUGAGUCCCUUGAAUUCGAGCAGUUUCCAGUGAAUUUCAAAGACUCAGAAACACAAAUUAAGAAUCUACCUUUGAUACCUCCAACUCUGAAUGAGGAAUGUGAAUCCAUGGACUCUAAUGACUCAAUGACCGGAGAAGCAGGUGCCCCACAGCCAGAAGCUCCACAGUGCAGUUAUCCUGUGAUACUUCCAGCUUAUUAUUCACCAUUUCUACAAUUUUCAUACCCUUAUUGGUCGGGAUACAAAGCAGAUGCUUCAGAGCAGCAGACACAUGAAAUUAUUAAGCCAACAGCAGUACAUUCAAAGAACCCCAUAAAUGUUGAUGAGCUUGUGGGUAUGUCCAAACUGAGUAUAGGAGAGUCUGGUGGAGAAACCACAUCUUCACUGGACUUACUUGGAGGGUCGAGGAGGCAAUCUGCUUUUCAUGCUAAUCCAUCCACAAAGGCUCAGGCAUGAUCCAACUAUCCAGAUGGUCAACAAGUCCAGGUUUUGUUCUCUUUGAUCCUAUUGCAGUGAAUAAUGAUACAUGAUACAAGCAGUUAAGAAGUCGAAAGAUGAGAGAGGAAAGCUUCAGGUGGCUCGAGUCAUUUUUCUAUAGUAAAUUACCGAGAGACGUCUCCAUCUUCACGCCACCUUUCUGAUGAACAAAAGUCAAUCUUUUGGAUUGUUGUGUAACCCACGGAUCAGGUUAAUUACAAUGCAUAAUAAGCCCACCACUGACGGGAUCGAAGACACCACCACUGCUCACCACAAGGGACUGAAACACCCUGGAAUUCUGUACUAUUUGUACCAGAAGAAAGAAAAACAUAACAAUAAAGCAGUGAACCAAUCCAAUGCUGAGAAGCAGCCGAGAGAAGGUACUCCUCCUGUACUUGGAAAGAGUCAGAUGACAGCAGGACGGAGAAGGCCAGCUUAUUUUGUACUUCUCUGGGUAGAGUGGGAAAAAUCUAAUAUAACAUAAAAUAAAUGACAUGUUUUAUUGGUCAUAAAAAUAAUAAUAUUAUUAUUAUUACAAUACAUGAAAUGAUUAAUUUAUUAAUCUUGACAAGUCA
Musa acuminata AAA Group (dessert banana) is the source of this 1697-nucleotide RNA transcript. It is a transcript of the gene named transcription factor MYBS3-like, with no coding region annotated. The transcript is spliced from 6 exons. NCBI's taxonomy places the organism in Eukaryota, Viridiplantae, Streptophyta, Magnoliopsida, Zingiberales, Musaceae. The record is from RefSeq and is a predicted model, not a curated record.